Molecule: transfer RNA, 64 nt
Filed under: Archispirostreptus gigas (African giant black millipede)
Lineage: Eukaryota; Metazoa; Arthropoda; Diplopoda; Spirostreptida; Spirostreptidae
Description: tRNA-Gly
Source: RNAcentral
AUCACAUGAGUAUCUAUGUACAAUUAACUUCCAAUUAAUAAGAUUAAAUCAAUUAAAUGUGAUA